RNAcentral lists this long non-coding RNA (216 nucleotides) under Erythranthe guttata (spotted monkey flower). RNAcentral describes it as "long non-coding RNA (EGUT_LNC003089)". The record is from RNAcentral. Lineage: Eukaryota; Viridiplantae; Streptophyta; Magnoliopsida; Lamiales; Phrymaceae.
AGAAGGAAGCAUUAACGAAGUCCAAGAAGAAGGAUCAACAAGCCCUCACCCUCAUUCAUCAAUGCUUAGAUGAAUCGAUGUUCGAGAAAGUGGCUAAUGCCAACACCGCAAAGGAAGCUUGGGAGAUUUUGCAGACCUCUCUCCAAGGAGCCGACAAAGUAAAAAAGGUUCGGCUUCAAUCACUUCGUGGAAAUUAUGAAGCUUUGCGUAUGGCGG